This is a long non-coding RNA of Leptinotarsa decemlineata (Colorado potato beetle), 816 nucleotides long. NCBI's taxonomy places the organism in Eukaryota, Metazoa, Arthropoda, Insecta, Coleoptera, Chrysomelidae. The record is from RefSeq and is a predicted model, not a curated record.
AUCAAAAUAAAAAAUUUGAUUGUCAAAUUUUUGUUUUGUACUUUUGAGAUUCCUUUUUCUUCCUUUAAGUUCAAAGGAGUGAUUUGUAAAUAAAAGUAACUUAGUGACUUGCUAGUGAUAGAAAAAGUGCGGUUAUCGAAGUAUUCAAUAGAAAAUUUCAUAUUCAUAAAAUGGCAACAAAUAAUAUGGAUGAAGAACAAGCUCUUCGGGAGUGCGAAGCUUACGUUCAAAAUCACAAUAUUCAACAAAUACUUAAGGACUGCAUCGUUCAAUUAUGCGUCAGCCGUCCAACAAAUCCCAUUUCGUUUUUGAGAGAACAUUUUCAAAAGCUGGAAAGGGUUGUAUCCUCUCUUCUGAAGUUUUCCGCUUUCUAGAGAAUGAUGAAGAAGUAGAAAGCCCACCUUUAUUUAUAUACAUUCUGGGUAGCAGAACCACAGUGGAUCUGAAAAUGUUUUACUUUGACAUAAUUGUGAAUGUUAUUUUGGGUUUAUUGUCGAUUUUCUACUAUUUAUUCAUUAGAAAUGUUCUUGUAGCUUAACAUUAGUCUGCCAGUCAGCUGUUUUGAAAGAGGAAUUUUUAAAUUUGACUUCAACAUAACUUUAGGUUUAUUUUAUCUAUUAGAACCUAAUCACAAUCAUUCAUUUUUUGAAGAACUGAAAAAAAGUUACUACUGAAAUCUGAAAUAACUCCUUUUGAAGCAUUUUGUUGGAUUAGAGACAAAACAUUCCUAUUAGGCUUCGUUAUGUGUAUGUUACUCAGUGUCUCCUUCUCCGUUAAACAUUAUAUUGGCAAUAAAUCAAUGUUUAUUUAAAAGUG